UUUGCUAAUCAGCCUCUAUUUUUAAAUAAACUUUUACUGUCCAAAAAAAUGUUUUAUGGUUUCAGGUAUAAGCUUAUUAAAUUAGAACUGCGGAAUUCAACUAUACUGUAAACCCCCAUUAAACAAUGAAAUACAAUACUAGACUUUAUGGUUCUACCGAUUUCCUGAAGCAAUUAAGAAACACAGCCUUAUAGAAAAGAUUGCGUAGGAAUAAAUGAUGAUCCCCUGGGGACUCCAGGGACAAAUAUUUCGGAGGCCUACGUAGAUUUAGACUAAAAUUUGGCAGACCCAGCAAGUGUCGACCCCGGAAAACUGUCCCCUAAUAGAGUAAGACGCCAAGCGCACGGCCGUUCGAUGUCCGUGCAAAGCUCACUAGACCCGUACGGUUCGAACACAACCCUCAGCAGUAGCGGAUCUAGUGAGCUAGCUUCUUCAGAUGGCAAGCAUUCGUCUAACUAACAAAUAGCCAGCGGCGCGCCGCCUUCUACUGCUCCUUCAACCGCUCAUUCUUCACCCGCACACGUCUUCACCUUUACUAUCGUGCUCAAAAAGAUAACACCUCUACUUUAAUAUCCUGUUGUCCGAAACUCGCCCUUUGAAAAUUGACGCGCUGAUAACCAACGGUAAAAACUCUAUUUUUGUAAGCACCACCCAGAACGGGACGUGAGAACAGUUUUUGCGCGUGGUUUUGAAAAGGGUUAGCCCAGUUCUCGACCGCUAUGUUCAUUCUUGUUUAACAAUAUUUUCAUGCAGUACUUAUAAAAAUAUGUACAUAAUAUAAAACUAUGGUGCCAUAUUGUUGUUAAAUGACUGAAUUAUCCAAACACAAUUUUGUUUGUGUACUCACUGUGAUCUAGAGUAGUUGGUUCAAGUUUAACUCGGUAUCAGUUGAAAAGUGUUCAUUAUUUUUAAUAUUGUUGGAGCGUUCCACGUUUAAAUUAUGACAAUCCGUUGUUGAAAGUUACUGUUAAAUUUUCUUGUAAGAUUUUAUUGUUGUAAAAGAUUUAAAUGAAUAUAAAUAAUACUUAAAUGACAAACUGCAUGAUCAUAUUCAGGAUACUUGUUAACUUAUACUGAAGAACCUUUACUUUUAUCUGUACCAGUUGAAAUUGUGCUCAGUUAUAAAGUCCAAUAUGGUGAGAAUCGUAUUUGGAAUACCUAGUUAAAACACCAGUGUAACAUCUUCCCUCAUACCUUGGAAGUAUUAUAAGCCCACUCCUGGUCCAUACCAUAUCCGUGUUGCGGCGCGCAUUGAUGGCAAAUUGUUAUUAGAUGAAUUGCAAAGAGUGUAAACCUAAAUCAGCGGCUUUCUGUGAGCUUACUUUUAUCUUACACUAAUUCUAAGUUUGCAAAGACUAUGUUUAUACUUUCUGUCGUUUGGUUAGUAGGUACAGUAAACAAAGAAGCGCAUAUCGCCGACAGGCGCAACUUUUGCCAAAAGGGACGCAAUUGCCUAAGGUACCUUUAUUUACUGUACAAAAAUUCUAAAUCAAUUAACGGUACUACAAGAGUGUCGCUAUCAGAGCUGACCGAAACAAAAACGGCGACCUGCCUAAAUUAUUAUCGUCGCGAAACUGUGAGCACUGAUGAACGUUCUUGUAGCAACAUAUACUACCUAUAUGUUCACUGUUUGAAAUGUUUAUAAUGUUGAUGUGACUUGAAUUGUUUAUGCGUGUAAAGGAGUUGUGUUAUUUCUAUUAUGUAAUUGUUUAAUGUUCUGUUACUGGAUUAGCUUGUACUAUCUCUGUCUUGUCAAUGUUUAAAGAACAGAAUUUCCAAAUUCUAAUUUAAAAAAAAAAA
Long non-coding RNA from Photinus pyralis (common eastern firefly), 1800 nucleotides. RefSeq lists it as uncharacterized. Lineage: Eukaryota; Metazoa; Arthropoda; Insecta; Coleoptera; Lampyridae. The transcript has 2 exons. The record is from RefSeq and is a predicted model, not a curated record.